UACGUAGGGAGCGAGCGUUGUCCGGAAUUACUGGGUGUAAAGGGAGCGUAGGCGGGGAUGCAAGUUGGGUGUUAAAUCUACCGGCUCAACUGGUAGUCGCACUCAAAACUGCAGCUCUUGAGUGAAGUAGAGGCAGGCGGAAUUCCUAGUGUAGCGGAUGGAAUACGUAGAUAUUAGGAGGAACACCAGUGGCGAAGGCGCCUGCUGGGCUUUACUGACGCUGAGGCUC
Molecule: ribosomal RNA, 229 nt
Filed under: uncultured bacterium
Lineage: Bacteria
Description: partial 16S ribosomal RNA
Rfam family: Bacterial small subunit ribosomal RNA
Source: RNAcentral